This 137-nucleotide non-coding RNA is filed under the name Bacillus methanolicus MGA3. Lineage: Bacteria; Bacillati; Bacillota; Bacilli; Caryophanales; Bacillaceae. The record is from RNAcentral.
AGAGUAAAAGCUGGGGAUAAGCAUCUUUAAAGAUUAACCAAUUUGCACGUUCAUAUGUUAAAAAAAGCUCUUUCCUAGCUUGUUUGCUCAAAAUACUUGAUAACCAUUUCCCUUCCAAGUCACACAUAUUCCAACCG